RNAcentral lists this transfer RNA (176 nucleotides) under bacterium. Its description in RNAcentral is "tRNA-Arg". The record is from RNAcentral.
GGUCUCCGUAGCGCAGUGGAUAGAGCGUCAGCCUCCGAAGCUGAAGGUCGCAGGCUGGAAAACCUUUAAUGGUUUUUCAGCGCCGGAGUAUUGCCCACAGGCAAUAUGAGGCGGUGGCCAGCCCGAGAAGUGUAUCAACACUUCGAGAGGCGAGGCCGAAUCCUGCCGGACAGCCA